ACUCAAAUGAAUUGACGGGGGCUCGCACAAGCGGUGGAGCAUGUGGUUUAAUUCGACGACAAGCGGGGAACCUCACCCAGGCUUGACAUCUAGGGAAAGCCCAUGAAAGUGGGCCGUGCCGCAAGGAACCCUAAGACAGGUGUUGCACGGUCGUCGUCAGCUCGUGUCGUGAGAUGUACGGUUAAGUCCGUAAACGAGCGAAACCCUUAUCCAGUGUUAUAUUUCUCACUGGAGACUGCCGGCUUUAAGCCGGAGGAAGGUAGGGAUGACGUCAGAUCAGCGUGGCCCUUACGCCUGGGGCAACACACGUGCUACAAUGCCAUAGACAAUGAGUCGCCAAGCUGCAAAGCGGAGCUAAUCUCAUCAAAAUAUGGCCCAGUUCGGAUUGGAGUCUGCAACUCGACUCCAUGAAGCCGGAAUCGCUAGUAAUCGUGUAUCAGAACGUCACGGUGAAUACGUUCUCGAGCCUUGUACACACCGCCCGU
RNAcentral lists this ribosomal RNA (485 nucleotides) under uncultured bacterium. RNAcentral's name for it is "partial 16S ribosomal RNA". It matches the Rfam family "Bacterial small subunit ribosomal RNA", at positions 899 to 1397 of the family's 1533-position model. The record is from RNAcentral.